AGACGGAGCUCGCGGUGAGGAGGCAUGGAUGAACCCACUUAUGGGACUUAGCAAAAGCAAAGGCUCCUCAGGUAAACAGCACAAGUCGAAAACCUUUGUUAUUCCCCAAAUCAUCGUUACUCGAGCUUCCACCGACCUGGGUAUACCACCAGAGGAAGAAGGGCAAAAGACCAUAAGGGACAAGAUGGACUAUGGUCCCUACUACCGACACAGGAACCCCAGCACUGUUGACGCGUACACUAAAACCCAGCCUGAGGCUCCGAAACCCAAAUCAUUCCUGUAGUGGUCCUCUGAGACUCAAUGCCAUCUUCAAGAUGUGGUUAAAGCACUUUGGCCUCUUCUCUGGCAAGCAGGCUUGGCCUCACUUCUCCCAAUGCCACAUGCAGCUUGGAGGAAAGCAGGAAUGACUUUGGAAAGUGAACUAGGAAGCUUUGUUUAAAUAAAUAAAG
This 449-nucleotide long non-coding RNA is filed under the name Vombatus ursinus (common wombat). Its description in RNAcentral is "lncRNA (ENSVURG00010020695.1)". The record is from RNAcentral. Lineage: Eukaryota; Metazoa; Chordata; Mammalia; Diprotodontia; Vombatidae.